RNAcentral lists this ribosomal RNA (198 nucleotides) under uncultured bacterium. Its description in RNAcentral is "partial 16S ribosomal RNA". It matches the Rfam family "Bacterial small subunit ribosomal RNA", at positions 328 to 539 of the family's 1533-position model. The record is from RNAcentral.
ACGCUCGACACCUACGGGAGGCGGCAGUGGGGAAUAUUGCACAAUGGGGGAAACCCUGAUGCAGCGACGCCGCGUGGAGGAAGAAGGUCUUCGGAUUGUAAACUCCUGUUGUUGGGGAAAAAGAGGAUGGUACCCAACAAGGAAGUGACGGCUAACUACGUGCCUGCAGCUGCGGUAAUCUGAGCGGGCUGGCAAGGC